UACGAUAUUGGUAUUUAGGACA
RNAcentral lists this microRNA (22 nucleotides) under Apis mellifera (honey bee). Its description in RNAcentral is "ame-miR-6062-3p". The record is from miRBase by way of RNAcentral. Lineage: Eukaryota; Metazoa; Arthropoda; Insecta; Hymenoptera; Apidae.